This 758-nucleotide ribosomal RNA is filed under the name Purpureocillium lilacinum. Its description in RNAcentral is "LSU rRNA". It matches the Rfam family "Eukaryotic large subunit ribosomal RNA", at positions 111 to 900 of the family's 3401-position model. Lineage: Eukaryota; Fungi; Ascomycota; Sordariomycetes; Hypocreales; Ophiocordycipitaceae. The record is from RNAcentral.
AAAUUUGAAAUCUGGCCCCCAGGGCCCGAGUUGUAAUUUGCAGAGGAUGCUUUUGGCGCGGUGCCUUCCGAGUUCCCUGGAACGGGACGCCAUAGAGGGUGAGAGCCCCGUCUGGUCGGACGCCUAGCCUGUGUAAAGCUCCUUCGACGAGUCGAGUAGUUUGGGAAUGCUGCUCUAAAUGGGAGGUAUAUGUCUUCUAAAGCUAAAUACCGGCCAGAGACCGAUAGCGCACAAGUAGAGUGAUCGAAAGAUGAAAAGCACUUUGAAAAGAGGGUUAAAUAGUACGUGAAAUUGUUGAAAGGGAAGCGCUUGUGACCAGACUUGGGCCCGGUGGAUCAUCCAGCGUUCUCGCUGGUGCACUCCGCCGGGUUCAGGCCAGCAUCAGUUCGCCGCGGGGGAAAAAGGCUUCGGGAACGUGGCUCCUACGGGAGUGUUAUAGCCCGUUGCAUAAUACCCUGGGGCGGACUGAGGUUCGCGCUCCGCAAGGAUGCUGGCGUAAUGGUCAUCAGCGACCCGUCUUGAAACACGGACCAAGGAGUCGUCUUCGUAUGCGAGUGUUCGGGUGUAAAACCCCUACGCGUAAUGAAAGUGAACGCAGGUGAGAGCUUCGGCGCAUCAUCGACCGAUCCUGAUGUUCUCGGAUGGAUUUGAGUAAGAGCAUACGGGGCCGGACCCGAAAGAAGGUGAACUAUGCCUGUAUAGGGUGAAGCCAGAGGAAACUCUGGUGGAGGCUCGCANCGGUUCUGACGUGCAAAUCG